AUUCUUGCACGGGCAGAAACGACCCGUGACUUGG
RNAcentral lists this ribosomal RNA (34 nucleotides) under Lawsonia inermis (henna). Its description in RNAcentral is "partial 18S ribosomal RNA". Lineage: Eukaryota; Viridiplantae; Streptophyta; Magnoliopsida; Myrtales; Lythraceae. The record is from RNAcentral.